Molecule: long non-coding RNA, 265 nt
Organism: Panicum virgatum (switchgrass)
Lineage: Eukaryota; Viridiplantae; Streptophyta; Magnoliopsida; Poales; Poaceae
Exons: 3
Source: RefSeq, a predicted model, not a curated record
GGGGAACACGGACGAAGGAAUCGAGGGCUUCCAGUGUCAGGCCUAGGCUUCACUGCACAACCUGAUUGUGUCACAUUUUUUCUUGGCUCUCUCUUCUCAUGGAUAUUGACGAACCAAGAACUCCGAAGCCUGAAGAUAUGAGAUCUAGAGUGCCCCAUAAACAUUGGUGUAAAGUCUGCGCUAAGAACUUCCGUUCAGGGAAGGCUCUUGGAGGCCACAUGACGUGCCACCGGCUUGCGGUCGUGCAGACAAGGAGCACACCCAG